GACGAACGCUGGCGGCGCGCCUAACACAUGCAAGUCGAACGGAAUAUUUUUCUACUUCAAGUUUUUUGCUUGUUUGAGGAAAGCGUAAAUCAGUGCGCAGCACUGAUUUAGGCCUUUUAGUAAGCUAACACAUGCAGAAAAGAACGAGCGGAAGAUUUGAAGUAGAAAAAUAUUUAGUGGCGAACGGGUGAGUAACGCGUGAGGAACCUGCCUCAAAGAGGGGGACAACAGUUGGAAACGACUGCUAAUACCGCAUAAGCCCACGGGGCCGCAUGGCUCUGAGGGAAAAGGAGCAAUCCGCUUUGAGAUGGCCUCGCGUCCGAUUAGCUGGUUGGUGAGGUAACGGCCCACCAAGGCGACGAUCGGUAGCCGGACUGAGAGGUUGAACGGCCACAUUGGGACUGAGACACGGCCCAGACUCCUACGGGAGGCAGCAGUGGGGAAUAUUGCACAAUGGGGGAAACCCUGAUGCAGCGACGCCGCGUGAGCGAAGAAGUAUUUCGGUAUGUAAAGCUCUAUCAGCAGGGAAGAUAAUGACGGUACCUGACUAAGAAGCCCCGGCUAACUACGUGCCAGCAGCCGCGGUAAAACGUAGGGGGCAAGCGUUAUCCGGAUUUACUGGGUGUAAAGGGAGCGUAGACGGCGAAGCAAGUCUGGUGUGAAAACCCGGGGCUCAACCCCGGGCCUGCAUUGGAAACUGUUUUGCUUGAGUGCCGGAGAGGUAAGCGGAAUUCCUAGUGUAGCGGUGAAAUGCGUAGAUAUUAGGAGGAACACCAGUGGCGAAGGCGGCUUACUGGACGGCAACUGACGUUGAGGCUCGAAAGCGUGGGGAGCAAACAGGAUUAGAUACCCUGGUAGUCCACACCGUAAACGAUGAUUACUAGGUGUUGGAGGAUAGACCCCUUCAGUGCCGCAGUUAACACAAUAAGUAAUCCACCUGGGGAGUACGACCGCAAGGUUGAAACUCAAAGGAAUUGACGGGGGCCCGCACAAGCAGUGGAGUAUGUGGUUUAAUUCGAAGCAACGCGAAGAACCUUACCAGGUCUUGACAUCCCGGUGACCGGCGCGUAAUGGUGCCUUUCCUUCGGGACACUGGAGACAGGUGGUGCAUGGUUGUCGUCAGCUCGUGUCGUGAGAUGUUGGGUUAAGUCCCGCAACGAGCGCAACCCUUAUCCUUAGUAGCCAGCAGGUGAAGCUGGGCACUCUGGGGAGACUGCCAGGGAUAACCUGGAGGAAGGUGGGGAUGACGUCAAAUCAUCACGCCCCUUAUGAUCUGGGCUACACACGUGCUACAAUGGCGUAAACAAAGGGAAGCGAACCUGCGAGGGGGAGCGAACCCCAAAAAUAACGUCUCAGUUCGGACUGCAGUCUGCAACUCGACUGCACGAAGCUGGAAUCGCUAGUAAUCGCGAAUCAGCAUGUCGCGGUGAAUACGUUCCCGGGUCUUGUACACACCGCCCGUCACACCAUGGGAGUUGGUAACGCCCGAAGUCAGUGACCCAACCGAAAGGAGGGAGCUGCCGAAGGCGGGACUGAUAACUGGGGUGA
This 1548-nucleotide ribosomal RNA is filed under the name uncultured bacterium. RNAcentral describes it as "bacterial SSU rRNA". It matches the Rfam family "Bacterial small subunit ribosomal RNA". The record is from RNAcentral.